This 216-nucleotide long non-coding RNA is filed under the name Dasypus novemcinctus (nine-banded armadillo). RNAcentral describes it as "lncRNA (ENSDNOG00000050753.1)". The record is from RNAcentral. Lineage: Eukaryota; Metazoa; Chordata; Mammalia; Cingulata; Dasypodidae.
GCCAUACCCUGAAAAAAACCUCCGCAGAUACUCUGGAGGAUGGUAGAGACUGGAGAAGGGCUCCACAGAUGCAGAAUUGAAGAAGGAGAGAAAUAUCAGCUUUGCUCUCCUUCUGCCUGUCUGGUUGUGAGUGAAAAUCCAGAGGAAGACAGAUGCCAGCUAAGGUCUUGGCAAUGCAAACACAUGUGAGUAUGUAAUUCUUCUUCAACUCAAAUU